RNAcentral lists this ribosomal RNA (596 nucleotides) under Virgibacillus sp. TS171. RNAcentral describes it as "bacterial SSU rRNA". It matches the Rfam family "Bacterial small subunit ribosomal RNA", at positions 111 to 689 of the family's 1533-position model. Lineage: Bacteria; Bacillati; Bacillota; Bacilli; Caryophanales; Bacillaceae. The record is from RNAcentral.
UAACACGUGGGCAACCUACCUGUAAGAUUGGGAUAACUCCGGGAAACCGGGGCUAAUACCGGAUAAUACUUUUUGCCACAUGGCAGAAAGUUGAAAGGCGGCUUUUGCUGUCACUUACAGAUGGGCCCGCGGCGCAUUAGCUAGUUGGUGGGGUAAUGGCCUACCAAGGCGACGAUGCGUAGCCGACCUGAGAGGGUGAUCGGCCACACUGGGACUGAGACACGGCCCAGACUCCUACGGGAGGCAGCAGUAGGGAAUCUUCCGCAAUGGACGAAAGUCUGACGGAGCAACGCCGCGUGAGUGAUGAAGGUUUUCGGAUCGUAAAACUCUGUUGUUAGGGAAGAACAAGUAUCGUUCGAAUAGGGCGGUACCAUGACGGUACCUAACCAGAAAGCCCCGGCUAACUACGUGCCAGCCAGCCGCGGUAAUACGUAGGGGGCAAGCGUUGUCCGGAAUUAUUGGGCGUWAAGCGCUCGCAGGCGGUCUUUUAAGUCUGAUGUGAAAGCCCACGGCUUAACCGUGGAGGGUCAUUGGAAACUGGGAGGACUUGAGUACAGAAGAGGAGAGUGGAAUUCCCCGUGUAGCGGGUGAAAUGC